UGGCGGCUAUUGAUGGCGGUCGUUGUUGUUGAAGGAAGGUGGCAGGUGGGUUGAUGUUGGCGGUUGUUGAUGAAGGAUGGUCGCAGGUGGGUGGUGAUCGUUGAAGUUUGAUGAAGGAUGGUGGCAAGUGGAGUGGGUUUUUCAUCUUACACAAUUGAAGAUCUUCAUCCAGAUCUUGAAGAUCUAACUCAUUUUCAGAUCCGGUUUGAUGUUGAAGAUGACCCCAAAGAUCCUCGAGGUCCAUAACUUUGUUUGGAAAUCUACACUUUGAAGAUGAUGUUUCAGAUGUUGAAGAUGAUGUUUCAGAUGUU
RNAcentral lists this long non-coding RNA (311 nucleotides) under Helianthus annuus (common sunflower). Its description in RNAcentral is "sRNA HanXRQr2_Chr16g0744421". Lineage: Eukaryota; Viridiplantae; Streptophyta; Magnoliopsida; Asterales; Asteraceae. The record is from RNAcentral.